RNAcentral lists this ribosomal RNA (1133 nucleotides) under Cyclocephala longula. RNAcentral's name for it is "SSU rRNA". It matches the Rfam family "Eukaryotic small subunit ribosomal RNA", at positions 50 to 1119 of the family's 1831-position model. Lineage: Eukaryota; Metazoa; Arthropoda; Insecta; Coleoptera; Scarabaeidae. The record is from RNAcentral.
CAUGCAUGUCUCAGUACGAGCCGUAUUAAGGUGAAACCGCGAAAGGCUCAUUAAAUCAGUUAUGGUUCCUUAGAUCGUACCCACAUUUACUUGGAUAACUGUGGUAAUUCUAGAGCUAAUACAUGCAAACAGAGCUCCGACCGGAGACGGAAGGAGCGCUUUUAUUAGAUCAAAACCAAUCGGUGACGGGUUCGCCCGUUAUCGUACACCUUGGUGACUCUGAAUAACUUUAUGCUGAUCGCACGGUCUCGCACCGGCGACGCAUCUUUCAAAUGUCUGCCUUAUCAACUGUCGAUGGUAGGCUCUGCGCCUACCAUGGUUGUAACGGGUAACGGGGAAUCAGGGUUCGAUUCCGGAGAGGGAGCCUGAGAAACGGCUACCACAUCCAAGGAAGGCAGCAGGCGCGCAAAUUACCCACUCCCGGCACGGGGAGGUAGUGACGAAAAAUAACGAUACGGGACUCAUCCGAGGCCCCGUAAUCGGAAUGAGUACACUCUAAACCCUUUAACGAGGAUCAAUUGGAGGGCAAGUCUGGUGCCAGCAGCCGCGGUAAUUCCAGCUCCAAUAGCGUAUAUUAAAGUUGUUGCGGUUAAAAAGCUCGUAGUCGAACUUGUGUCCCGCGCCGCCGGUUCAUCGCUCGCGGUGUUUAACUGGCGUGUCCGCGGGACGUCCUGCCGGUGGACUUAGUCCUUUCGGGGGCGGUCCAACUUCAAAUCCCACCGCGGUGCUCUUUACCGAGUGUCGAGGUGGGCCGGCACGUUUACUUUGAACAAAUUAGAGUGCUUAAAGCAGGCUAAAACUUUGCCUGAAUACUGUGUGCAUGGAAUAAUGGAAUAGGACCUCGGUUCUAUUUUGUUGGUUUUCGGAACUCCGAGGUAAUGAUUAAUAGGAACGGAUGGGGGCAUUCGUAUUGCGACGUUAGAGGUGAAAUUCUUGGAUCGUCGCAAGACGGACAGAAGCGAAAGCAUUUGCCAAAAACGCUUUCAUUGAUCAAGAACGAAAGUUAGAGGUUCGAAGGCGAUCAGAUACCGCCCUAGUUCUAACCAUAAACGAUGCCAGCUAGCGAUCCGCCGACGUUCCUCCGAUGACUCGGCGGGCAGCUUCCGGGAAACCAAAGCUUUUGGGUUCCGGGG